This 300-nucleotide ribosomal RNA is filed under the name Clostridioides difficile. RNAcentral describes it as "partial 23S ribosomal RNA". It matches the Rfam family "Bacterial large subunit ribosomal RNA", at positions 1466 to 1776 of the family's 2925-position model. The record is from RNAcentral. Lineage: Bacteria; Bacillati; Bacillota; Clostridia; Peptostreptococcales; Peptostreptococcaceae.
GGGAUGACACAGUAGGAUAAGCUAAGCACACUGUUGGUUAUGUGUGCCCAAGCAUUGAGGCAGUCAAAGUAGGCAAAUCCGCUUUGAUAAUGCUGGGAUGUGAUGGGGAGCGAAAUUUAGUAGCGAAGUAGCUGAUUUCACACUGUCAAGAAAAGUCUCUAUCGAGGUUAAAGGUACCCGUACCGCAAACCGACACAGGUGGGUGAGGAGAGUAUCCUAAGGCCAGCGAGAGAACUGUUGUUAAGGAACUCGGCAAAAUGACCCCGUAACUUAGGGAUAAGGGGUGCCACCAUCAGGUGG